RNAcentral lists this ribosomal RNA (253 nucleotides) under uncultured bacterium. Its description in RNAcentral is "partial 16S ribosomal RNA". It matches the Rfam family "Bacterial small subunit ribosomal RNA", at positions 524 to 776 of the family's 1533-position model. The record is from RNAcentral.
UACGUAGGGCGCAAGCGUUGUCCGGAAUUAUUGGGCGUAAAGAGCUCGUAGGCGGCCUGUUGCGUCCGCUGUGAAAACCCGGGGCUUAACCCCGGGCUUGCAGUGGAUACGGGCAGGCUGGAGGCAGGCAGGGGAGAACGGAAUUCCCGGUGUAGCGGUGAAAUGCGCAGAUAUCAGGAGGAACACCAAUGGCGAAGGCAGCUCGCUGGGACGGUACUGACGCUGAGACGCGAAAGCGUGGGGAGCAAACAGG